Molecule: non-coding RNA, 82 nt
Filed under: Paractinoplanes brasiliensis
Lineage: Bacteria; Bacillati; Actinomycetota; Actinomycetes; Micromonosporales; Micromonosporaceae
Source: RNAcentral
GUAAGCCGUAUGCGGGAGAACCGCACGUACGGAUUGAAAGGGGGAUGGGGAACCGGGCUCGCAAGAGCACCGCGCCCCUGAC